This 617-nucleotide ribosomal RNA is filed under the name Telescopus variegatus. Its description in RNAcentral is "partial small subunit ribosomal RNA". The record is from RNAcentral. Lineage: Eukaryota; Metazoa; Chordata; Lepidosauria; Squamata; Colubridae.
ACAGGCCCAAAACAAUACCAACGGCGUAAAGCACGACCAAAUAUUAGUCCACCUGUUAAAGACAAACCCCAACUAGGCUGUAAAAAGCCAUAAGCCCCAGCAACCAGCAACUCUAACAAAAGACAACUUCCACUCGUGAAAGUCAGGACACAAACUAAGAUUAGAUACCCUACUAUGCCUAACCAUAACACAACACCACACUACCACAUGUUCGCCAAAUAACUACGAGUUAAAACUUGAAAUUUAAAAGACUUGACGGUACUUCACACCAACCUAGAGGAGCCUGUUAAAUAAACCGACACCCCACGAUUAACCCAACCCCCACUAGCCCACAGUCUAUAUACCGCCGUCGCCAGCCUACCUUAUGAAAGAAACAAAGUAAGCCAAAUAGCCACACUAAAACGACAGGUCGAGGUGUAACUUAUGUGGGGGACAAAAUGGGCUACAUUUUCUAAUCAGAACACACGGAUAAGAUAUUGAAAUAAAAAACUGAAGGAGGAUUUAGCAGUACAUUAGAAACAAAAUAUCUAAUAGAAACUCGCAAUGAAGUGCGUACACACCGCCCGUCAUCCCUGACAACCCAACCCCUAUAUUCAUAAAAAUACCAUACAUCAAAA